This 253-nucleotide ribosomal RNA is filed under the name uncultured bacterium. Its description in RNAcentral is "partial 16S ribosomal RNA". It matches the Rfam family "Bacterial small subunit ribosomal RNA", at positions 524 to 776 of the family's 1533-position model. The record is from RNAcentral.
UACAGAGGGUGCGAGCGGUGUCCGGAAUCACUGGGCGUAAAGGGCGCGUAGGCGGCUGGGUAAGUCGAUGGUGAAAUCCCGUGGCUCAACUGCGGGGCUGCCGUCGAGACUGCCUGGCUCGAGCGCGGUAGAGGCUGGUGGAAUUCCCGGUGUAGCGGUGGAAUGCGUAGAGAUCGGGAGGAACAUCGGUGGCGAAGGCGGCCAGCUGGGCCGUUGCUGACGCUGAGGCGCGAAAGCGUGGGGAGCAAACAGG